This 471-nucleotide ribosomal RNA is filed under the name Triticum aestivum (bread wheat). RNAcentral's name for it is "partial small subunit ribosomal RNA". Lineage: Eukaryota; Viridiplantae; Streptophyta; Magnoliopsida; Poales; Poaceae. The record is from RNAcentral.
AUGACGUUCAAGCGGAGGAACGGCGGGCGCAACAAGCACGGCCGCGGCCACGUCAAGUACAUCCGCUGCUCCAACUGCGCCAAGUGCUGCCCCAAGGACAAGGCUAUCAAGCGUUUCUUGGUGAGGAACAUCGUGGAGCAGGCUGCUGUGAGAGAUGUGCAGGAGGCUUGUGUACAUGAUGGAUAUGUUCUUCCCAAGCUGUAUGCCAAGGUGCACCACUGCGUUUCCUGUGCCAUCCAUGCUCACAUUGUCCGUGUCCGCUCCCGUGAGAACAGGAGGAACCGGGAGCCCCCGCAGCGUUUCAGGCGCAGGGACGACGGCCCGAGGCCUGGACAGGGUGGCCCGCCCCGUGCCGGCGGCCCUGGUGCCCCUGGUGGUGCGCCUGCUGGCGCCGGUGCCGUUCCUGGUGCCCCUGGUGGUGCGCCUGCUGGCGCCGGUGCCGUUCCUGGUGCCCCUGCUCCCCGUGUCUAG